GUCGAGCGAACGGACGAGAAGCUUGCUUCGUCUGAUGUUAGCGGCGGACGGGUGAGUAACACGUGGAUAACCUACCUAUAAGACUGGGAUAACUUCGGGAAACCGGAGCUAAUACCGGAUAAUAUUUUGAACCGCAUGGUUCAAAAGUGAAAGACGGUCUUGCUGUCACUUAUAGAUGGAUCCGCGCUGCAUUAGCUAGUUGGUAAGGUAACGGCUUACCAAGGCAACGAUGCAUAGCCGACCUGAGAGGGUGAUCGGCCACACUGGAACUGAGACACGGUCCAGACUCCUACGGGAGGCAGCAGUAGGGAAUCUUCCGCAAUGGGCGAAAGCCUGACGGAGCAACGCCGCGUGAGUGAUGAAGGUCUUCGGAUCGUAAAACUCUGUUAUUAGGGAAGAACAUAUGUGUAAGUAACUGUGCACAUCUUGACGGUACCUAAUCAGAAAGCCACGGCUAACUACGUGCCAGCAGCCGCGGUAAUACGUAGGUGGCAAGCGUUAUCCGGAAUUAUUGGGCGUAAAGCGCGCGUAGGCGGUUUUUUAAGUCUGAUGUGAAAGCCCACGGCUCAACCGUGGAGGGUCAUUGGAAACUGGAAAACUUGAGUGCAGAAGAGGAAAGUGGAAUUCCAUGUGUAGCGGUGAGAUGCGCAGAGAUAUGGAGGAACACCAGUGGCGAAGGCGACUUUCUGGUCUGUAACUGACGCUGAUGUGCGAAAGCGUGGGGAU
RNAcentral lists this ribosomal RNA (726 nucleotides) under uncultured Staphylococcus sp. RNAcentral describes it as "bacterial SSU rRNA". It matches the Rfam family "Bacterial small subunit ribosomal RNA", at positions 61 to 768 of the family's 1533-position model. The record is from RNAcentral. Lineage: Bacteria; Bacillati; Bacillota; Bacilli; Caryophanales; Staphylococcaceae.